CCUACGGGAGGCUGCAGUGGGGAAUAUUGGACAAUGGGCGAAAGCCUGAUCCAGCCAUGCCGCGUGUGUGAAGAAGGCCUUCGGGUUGUAAAGCACUUUCAGUGGGGAAGAAAGCCUUGGGGCUAAUACCCUCGAGGAAGGACAUCACCCACAGAAGAAGCACCGGCUAACUCCGUGCCAGCAGCCGCGGUAAUACGGAGGGUGCGAGCGUUAAUCGGAAUUACUGGGCGUAAAGCGCGCGUAGGCGGUCUGAUAAGCCGGGUGUGAAAGCCCCGGGCUCAACCUGGGAACGGCAUCCGGAACUGUCAGGCUAGAGUGCAGGAGAGGAAGGUAGAAUUCCCGGUGUAGCGGUGAAAUGCGUAGAGAUCGGGAGGAAUACCAGUGGCGAAGGCGGCCUUCUGGGCUGAUACUGACGCUGAGGUGCGAAAGCGUGGGUAGCAAACAGGAUUAGAUACCCGGGUAGUC
This 465-nucleotide ribosomal RNA is filed under the name Vreelandella stevensii. Its description in RNAcentral is "partial 16S ribosomal RNA". It matches the Rfam family "Bacterial small subunit ribosomal RNA", at positions 338 to 795 of the family's 1533-position model. The record is from RNAcentral. Lineage: Bacteria; Pseudomonadati; Pseudomonadota; Gammaproteobacteria; Oceanospirillales; Halomonadaceae.